RNAcentral lists this transfer RNA (77 nucleotides) under Candidatus Peregrinibacteria bacterium RIFCSPLOWO2_01_FULL_39_12. RNAcentral describes it as "tRNA-Met". It matches the Rfam family "tRNA". Rfam says of the family: Transfer RNA (tRNA) molecules are approximately 80 nucleotides in length. Their secondary structure includes four short double-helical elements and three loops (D, anti-codon, and T loops). Further hydrogen bonds mediate the characteristic L-shaped molecular structure. tRNAs have two regions of fundamental functional importance: the anti-codon, which is responsible for specific mRNA codon recognition, and the 3' end, to which the tRNAs corresponding amino acid is attached (by aminoacyl-tRNA synthetases). tRNAs cope with the degeneracy of the genetic code in two manners: having more than one tRNA (with a specific anti-codon) for a particular amino acid; and 'wobble' base-pairing, i.e. permitting non-standard base-pairing at the 3rd anti-codon position. Lineage: Bacteria; Candidatus Peregrinibacteriota. RNAcentral also lists the same sequence under 2 other names. The record is from RNAcentral.
GGCAGGGUAGCUCAGUUGGUGAGAGCGUCGGAUUCAUAACCCGGAGGUCGGGAGUUCGAAUCUCCCCCCUGCCACCA